This is a non-coding RNA of Scheffersomyces amazonensis, 72 nucleotides long. The record is from the annotation of a RefSeq genome assembly. NCBI's taxonomy places the organism in Eukaryota, Fungi, Ascomycota, Pichiomycetes, Serinales, Debaryomycetaceae.
AGCGCCGUGGCGCAGUGGAAGCGCGCAGGGCUCAUAACUCUGAGGACCCUCGAUCGAAACGAGGCGGCGCUA